This 468-nucleotide ribosomal RNA is filed under the name uncultured bacterium. Its description in RNAcentral is "partial 16S ribosomal RNA". It matches the Rfam family "Bacterial small subunit ribosomal RNA", at positions 28 to 507 of the family's 1533-position model. The record is from RNAcentral.
GACGAACGCUGGCGGCGUGCUUAACACAUGCAAGUCGAACGGAAAGGCCCUGCUUUUGUGGGGUGCUCGAGUGGCGAACGGGUGAGUAACACGUGAGUAACCUGCCCUUGACUUUGGGAUAACUUCAGGAAACUGGGGCUAAUACCGGAUAGGAGCUCCUGCUGCAUGGUGGGGGUUGGAAAGUUUCGGCGGUUGGGGAUGGACUCGCGGCUUAUCAGCUUGUUGGUGGGGUAGUGGCUUACCAAGGCUUUGACGGGUAGCCGGCCUGAGAGGGUGACCGGCCACAGUGGGACUGCAGUACGGCCCAGACUCCGACGGGAGGCAGCAGUGGGGAAUAUUGCACAAUGGGCGGAAGCCUGAUGCAGCAACGCCGCGUGCGGGAUGACGGCCUUCGGGUUGUAAACCGCUUUCGCCUGUGACGAAGCGUGAGUGACGGUAAUGGGUAAAGAAGCACCGGCUAACUACGUG